GCCUCUCUUCUAUUACUUGCAGACCAUGGCAGGACGGUCCUUUCAACACCUUCUUAGUUUUCUUAUGCUUUUGCUGCUAUGUGCCAAACCUGGCCUGGGGAAUGUUACUGGGUGCAUAGAGAGGGAGAGACAAGCUCUCCUUCACUUCAAACGUGGCCUUGUCGAUCAAUUUGGCCUUCUUUCCUCUUGGGGAGACAACAACAGAGAUUGUUGCCAAUGGAGAGGAGUCCAGUGUAGUAACCAGUCUGGUCACAUCAUCAUGCUUCAUCUUCUUGCCCCGCCAAAUGAAGAAUAUGAUGAAUAUGGUAUUUACCAGUCUCUUAGAGGCGACAUAAGUCCUUCCUUGCUUGAAUUGGAGCACUUGACUCAUUUGGAUCUCAGCUGUAAUGAUUUUGAAGGGAGGCAUAUACCUCCAUUCCUUGGUUCCCUCAGCAGAAUGCAGUACCUCAAUCUCUCUCAUGCCCAUUUCAAUCACACUGUUCCCACUCAAUUGGGAAAUCUUUCCAACUUGCUUUCCCUUGAUCUCAGCGAUAAUUAUUAUCACUUGAAUUCUGGGAACCUGGAGUGGCUUUCUCGUCUUUCUUCUUUAAGACACCUUGACCUGAGUUCUGUUGACCUUAGUGAAGCCAUCCACUGGUCCCAAGCAAUUAAUAAACUCCCUUCUCUCAUUCACUUGGACUUACGACACUGUUAUCUCCCUCCCAUCCCCUCACUCACCAUUCCGUCUCUUUCCCAUGGGAAUUCCUCUGUCCCUCUUGUUUUCCUUGAUCUCUCUUGGAAUUAUCUCACUUCUUCAAUAUACCCAUGGCUGCUCAACUUUAGUACCACCCUCCUUCAUCUUGAUCUCUCUUUCAAUCAUUUAAACAGUUCGAUUCCGGAAUAUGCUUUUGGGAACAUGAGUUCCCUUGAAUAUCUUGAUCUCUCUUUCAAUCAACUGCGGGGCUCAAUUCCAGAUAUAGUUGGGAAGAUGGUUUUACUUUCACAUCUUGAUCUCUCUUACAAUCAACUGCAGGGCUCAAUUCCAGACACAGUUGGGAAGAUGGUUUUACUUUCAGAUCUUGAUCUCUCUAACAAUCAACUGCGGGGCUCAAUUCCAAAUACAGUUGGGAAGAUGGUUUUACUUUCACAUCUUGAUCUCUCUUACAAUCAACUGCAAGGCUCAAUUCCAGACACAGUUGGGAAAAUGGUUUUACUUUCAGAUCUUGAUCUCUCUCGCAAUCAACUACAGGGCUCCAUUCCAGAUACAGUUGGGAAGAUGGUUUUACUUUCACAUCUUGAUCUUUCUUGCAAUCAACUGCAGGGUUCCAUUCCAGAUACAGUUGGGAAGAUGGUUUUACUUUCACAUCUUGAUCUCUCUCUCAAUCAACUACAGGGUUCCAUUCCAGAUACAGUUGGGAAGAUGGUUUUACUUUCACAUCUUGAUCUCUCUCUCAAUCAACUGCAGGGCUCCAUUCCAGAUACAGUUGGGAAGAUGGUUUCUCUUAAAAACCUCUAUCUCUCUCAGAAUCAUCUUCAAGGUGAGAUUCCAAAAUCCUUGAGUAAUUUAUGUAACUUACAAGAAUUAGAGUUGGAUAGAAACAAUCUCUCUGGACAGCUUGCACCAAACUUUGUGGCCUGUGCAAAUGACACAUUAGAGACUCUGUUUUUAUCGAAUAACCAGUUUAGUGGAUCAGUUCCUGCUCUCAUUGGAUUUUCAUCCUUGAGAGAGUUACAUCUUGAUUUUAAUCAACUAAAUGGAACUUUACCUGAAAGUGUUGGACAGUUGGCCAAACUUGAUUCCUUGGAUAUUGCCUCAAAUUCAUUGCAAGGCACUAUCUCUGAAGCCCAUCUCUUUAAUCUAUCCUGGUUGUCCUAUUUAAACUUAUCUUCCAACUCUCUCACUUUCAACAUGAGCUUGGAUUGGGUUCCUCCAUUUCAAUUGGAUUCUCUACGAUUAGCCUCCUGCAAAUUGGGACCUCGUUUUCCUAGUUGGCUUCGUACUCAAAACCAGUUGAGUGAGCUUGAUAUCUCCAAUUCUGAAAUUUUAGAUGUCCUCCCAGACUGGUUUUGGAAUGUAACCUCAACUAUCGAUACCUUGAGUAUUUCCAACAAUCGGAUCAAUGGGACCUUACCGAAUUUAUCAUCAAAAUUUGGUACUUUUUUAUCAUAGAUAUGAGCUCAAACUGUUUUGAGGGUUCAAUACCACAACUUCCUUAUGAUGUGCAAUGGUUGGAUCUCUCCAAUAACAAGUUAUCGGGGUCCAUUUCUUUAUUAUGUAAAGUUGGUUAUCAGUUACUUCUACUUGACCUCUCAAACAACUCGUUGUCGGGAGGGCUGCCCAAUUGUUUGGCGCGGUGGGAAAGGUUGGUAGUUCUUAAUUUGGAAAAUAACAAAUUUUCUGGGCAAAUUCCAAAUUCAUUUGGCUCCUUGCGAUCAAUUCAGACACUACAUUUGCGGAACAACAAUUUAACCGGAGAAUUGCCUUUGUCUUUUAAGAAUUGUACAAGUUUGAGGUUCAUUGAUUUGGCAAAAAAUAAGUUAUCAGGAAAAAUACCAGAAUGGAUUGGAGGAAGCCUCCCAAAUUUGGUUGUUCUAAACCUAGGAUCUAAUAGAUUCAGUGGAGGUAUAUGUCCAGAGCUAUGCCAAUUGAAAAAUAUUCAAAUAUUGGACCUCUCUAGCAACAAUAUGUUAGGUGUUGUACCGAGAUGUGUUGGUGGUUUCACUGCCAUGACUAAGAAAGGGAGCUUGGUCAUUGCUCAUAAUUAUUCAUGUGCACAAGUCAUACAUGGUCCCCAUGGUUUUCCCGUCUUUCUGCCUCCACUUUUUAGGAAUGCCUCUUAUGUUGAUAGGGCAUUGGUUAAAUGGAAAGGAAGAGAAUUUGAAUAUAAAAGUACCCUUGGGCUUGUAAAGAGUAUUGAUCUUUCAAGCAACAAACUAUCGGGGGAAAUUCCAGAAGAAGUAAUUGAUCUUGUAGAAUUAGUUUCAUUAAACUUAUCAAGGAACAAUUUGACUAGACUGAUCCCUGCAAGAAUUGGUCAAUUGAAAUCAUUGGAGGUUCUUGAUUUGUCUCAAAAUCAACUCUUUGGUGAAAUUCCAGCUAGCCUUGUUGAAGUAAGUGAUCUAAGUGUCUUAGAUCUCUCUGACAACAACUUGUCCGGUAAAAUUCCACAAGGUACUCAACUUCAAAGCUUCAAUAUUGAUUCCUACAAGGGAAAUCCUGCACUCUGUGGAUUGCCUCUUUUGAAAAAGUGUUCUGAAGAUAAAAUAAAGCAAGAUUCUCCCACUCAUAACAUUGAAGACAAAAUUCAGCAAGAUGGAAAUGACAUGUGGUUUUAUGUUAGCGUUGCUCUUGGAUUCAUUGUUGGAUUUUGGGGAGUGUGUGGAACUUUACUACUCAACAAAUCAUGGAGAUAUGCCUAUUUCCAAUUCUUGAAUAAAAUAAAAGAUUGGCUCUACGUGAUUAUAGCAAUAAAUAUGGCUAGAUUACAAAGGAGUCUUCAAAGCUAAAUGGACUGCAACUCUUGUUCUUGCCCUAUUAGCAUGGUUGAAUGCAAAUCGUUGUGUCCUCCCUUCUAUGAUUGAUCUUGGGAUGUAAUAGGUUUCUUGCUUAUGUUCUUUAGAUGCGUAUUUUAUAUUUCAUUCAGAAAUUUGUGUGACAUAUUAUCUCUUUUCUUCCUUACA
Molecule: RNA transcript, 3660 nt
Organism: Vitis riparia (riverbank grape)
Lineage: Eukaryota; Viridiplantae; Streptophyta; Magnoliopsida; Vitales; Vitaceae
Gene name: receptor-like protein EIX1
Exons: 2
Source: RefSeq, a predicted model, not a curated record